UUAAUGCUAGAAAAGACACAUAAUGAAUACAGCAAGAUAAUAUAACUUAGCUACUAUUUUGGCUAGCUGUGUUCUAUUUACUACUUCACAAGAGAUGUGUUGGGAGUGCAGUACUGAUAAGGAAUAAAGAAGAGUACAUUUCAACAAAAUUAAAGAGUCAGCCUUUUCCAGGAGGAUUAUAAACAACUUGCCCAACAUGACAGUUUGGGAAGUUUUAUCGUGUGUGCGCCCAAGAAAUAUGAGGGAAGUCCUGUUCUUGAGUAUUCCAACAUGUUUUCUUAUUGCAGUGUGGCUUACAGGUGAAUCUAUCACCAUCACCACUGAUCCUUCAGUUGCCCUUGUUGGUGAGCAAGUAACUCUGUCUUGCCAGCUGACUCCCAGAAUCCUCUCCAACGCAAGUGUGCUUUGGUACAAAGAGGAAAAGGGAAGAGAUGCUCCACUCUGCUCUUCCUCCAGCCUGGAUGGGGAGGUGGAACAGUGCCAGGAUGAAGAACAGUGCAGGAUUAAAGGGCACUGGGAGAGAAGAAGAUUUCUCCUGACUAUCCAAAAAGCGCAAAUAGCUGACAGCGGGGUGUACAUUUGUGCUGUAAGUGGCAACG
Long non-coding RNA from Lagopus leucura (white-tailed ptarmigan), 599 nucleotides. RefSeq lists it as uncharacterized. NCBI's taxonomy places the organism in Eukaryota, Metazoa, Chordata, Aves, Galliformes, Phasianidae. The record is from RefSeq and is a predicted model, not a curated record. The transcript has 3 exons.